AAAAAUACAUGUAGAAAUAAGUCCUGUUAAAUUUUGUUUUGAAUAGGGAGCAAGGAAAAUGGAACAGGAACAUUCUGAUCUCUUCACAGGAGCUAAAAAUACAGCCUUAUAUGGUUGGAGAUUUAUUCUGGAGAAAAUGGACCUGUCCAGUAAAAUAACACCAGCACAAGCAAAGAAAAAGUGGGACAAUUAAAAAAAAAGUGUAAGGGGUACCCACCAUCGCCGAGGAGGGAAAAGCCCUGAGGUG
RNAcentral lists this long non-coding RNA (247 nucleotides) under Sinocyclocheilus anshuiensis. RNAcentral's name for it is "lncRNA (ENSSANG00000002944.1)". Lineage: Eukaryota; Metazoa; Chordata; Actinopteri; Cypriniformes; Cyprinidae. The record is from RNAcentral.